RNA transcript from Gorilla gorilla gorilla (western lowland gorilla), 2669 nucleotides. It is a transcript of the gene named EEF1A lysine methyltransferase 2, with no coding region annotated. The transcript has 8 exons. The record is from RefSeq and is a predicted model, not a curated record. NCBI's taxonomy places the organism in Eukaryota, Metazoa, Chordata, Mammalia, Primates, Hominidae.
UCUGCCUGUGCCGCGUCUCUAUGGCGGCCCCAACGGCCGUCCCGGACGUGGAGCGAAAUGAGCUCGGGCGCUGACGGCGGCGGUGGCGCUGCGGUGGCGGCGCGGUCGGACAAGGGCAGUCCUGGGGAGGACGGUUUCGUCCCGUCGGCGCUGGGGACCCGCGAGCAUUGGGAUGCUGUCUAUGAGAGAGAACUGCAAACUUUCCGAGAAUAUGGAGAUACAGGUGAAAUCUGGUUUGGAGAAGAGAGUAUGAAUCGACUAAUAAGGUGGAUGCAGAAACACAAGAUUCCACUGGAUGCUUCAGUGCUUGAUAUUGGAACUGGAAAUGGUGUUUUCCUGGUUGAACUUGCAAAAUUUGGUUUCUCUAAUAUUACUGGAAUUGAUUACUCUCCUUCUGCAAUUCAGCUUUCUGGAAGUAUUAUAGAAAAAGAAGGUUUAUCUAACAUUAAGUUAAAGGUAGAAGACUUUUUGAAUCUCUCCACACAGCUGUCUGGAUUUCAUAUUUGUAUUGACAAAGGGACUUUUGAUGCCAUAAGCCUUAAUCCUGACAAUGCAAUUGAGAAGAGGAAGCAAUAUGUGAAAUCUCUCUCCAGGGUGUUGAAAGUAAAAGGCUUUUUUCUAAUAACAUCAUGUAAUUGGACCAAGGAAGAGUUGCUAAAUGAAUUCAGUGAAGGAUUUGAACUUCUCGAAGAGCUACCAACACCCAAGUUCAGCUUUGGAGGCAGAUCUGGAAACAGUGUAGCAGCAUUGGUUUUCCAAAAAAUGUGAGACUUUUUCUUGGACAAAUUCAGGUAGCUACACAGAAUCUACACAGCAAAGUUAACCUGACACAGAAAAUCCUUUGGCAAAUAAAUGCUUAGGCAUAGAAAUGAAACUCAACAUCAAGCAGACAAAUACCCAAGCCCACAGGCUACAUAAAUGCUGAAUAAAACCAGCUCUACAAUGGAACUCUGAAAAGCGACGGGUAAGAAGCCUAAUGAAUGAUUGAAUAUGACCUUAGCAAAAUCCCUGGAGUGUUGUUGAAAGAUCAUUCAUUUCCAGCUUAGAUGUCAAGAUGGGCUCCAGUAACCAGGAAAAAAGAGAGCUUGAGUCAGUACUUACUGAGUUUUAAAAAUCUUUUGCAGCACAGUGUAUUAGACUGAUCAUUAAAAGGGCUUCUCUAGCUGAAUUUUGAGCUGUCAUUAUAGUUUAGGCCCAGGGAAAUAAACUUAAAAAGAUAGGAAUAAUUCCUAAGACAUGAAUGUAUCAAUAUCCUAUCCUGCUUUUCUGGAGUAGGACUUCAAAAACCGAAAUGUAUAGGCUGGCAGAAUGUACUUUUGUCAUGCUGAUACCAUUGUAAAAAAGACUUAAACUAGGAGAUCAAUUGAGCCCUAAAGUAUUUGCAAAUUACUUGCCUAGCUUGUUAGAAGAAGAAAUAAAAAGCCAAAAUCUACAUUUUUGUUUUCAAAAGAAAUGAUUUCUUUGUUUCCUGAAGAGAUGAGAAAUGAUAAAUUCUUCCAUGUUACAUUUUUACGUAUGUAUUUUUAUUACUGUACUGUAUCAACAAAUGAUAAGUAUUUUAAUGAGUGAUCUUUAUUGUUCAUAGUAGCUGGAAGCGUCUUAAGAAAAGCAAAUCUAAUACAUCUGUUUUCCCAAAUAUGUAAAAAUUUAUACAUGAUCUAGCAAUUAGCAUAUCGUGUAUAUUUCUGAGUAGCUUAGGAAAAAAUAUGAAAAUACUCUGGUUGAAUAAGGGGACUGUGAACUGUAUUUCUCAUUUUUCAUUAAUAUAUUACAGAUCAGGCAGCUUAUCGUCGAUGAUAGCAGAAUCGAAAUGGCAUUGGGAUGGCUGUAGUUCCCCAGCUUUUGCCUGCCUUACUGCUGCAAAGACGAGAGAACUGUUGGGAGGAAGAGGCUAAAUGUAGAAGAGUGUGGGUGCUGUCAGUUCACAUUUUCCUCCUAACCCUUCUGCUAAUAGGAAAAUGUCAGGCCUUUGUUCCCAUCUAAUUUUAGUACAUCCUGGCUAAAAAAAUGUUAGGAUGAAAAAAUGUUAGGAUGAUUUCCAACCAUGGAACUUUGAGGGGUGGGGUAGGGGAAGGAAGAGUGGAGGAAAGCGCAGUUUAUACUCCAUAUCCGUCUGCCUUUCUGCAACAGCAGCUACCCCCUACUCUGUUGAUUUGGGUAAUGAAAUAAAUUUAGAUGCAUUGAAGCAGUGAUAAUUAGGUUUUCCUUCUAUCUUCUCAGUAAGAAGCCUAGUUGGUUUCUGAAUGGGGAAAGUCAUAAUAUGGUAUUUAAUGAAACAUACCUGGCAGAAUUAAAGAGCUGUACACAAGCUUUGGAAGAAAGGCCUGAAAUUCUUACUUUACCAGAACUCUUCCAUCCAGUGAGUUGCAAGCGUGACAUUUGCUGUGUUUUCAGCACCUGCCAACUUGGAAAGCAGGGUUUGUGUUCAGGACUUAGGCUCACAACCCAUACUUUGUGGUGCACAAUGCUGGCCCAGCUGGCAUGCUUUCGUACCUCAAUGGUGCUAGACAGUCAGUUACAAAGCUGUGUGGCUUCACAUGCGCUGAUCUCAAUAGUCACUCCUCUUCAAGCUGCUUUCAACUCUUAUUUUGUAUCAAAGGAGUGGGAUUGGUAUUAUUAAACUCAUUGCUGAGGUUAUUUUUCAGUGAAAAUAAAUUGUUUUAUUUAGU